CGGACAUGGGUCCGUUGGAAUGUAACCCUUAGAGGUUGAACCGUAAG
RNAcentral lists this non-coding RNA (47 nucleotides) under unclassified sequences. RNAcentral describes it as "eL15-Euryarchaeota ribosomal protein leader". It matches the Rfam family "eL15-Euryarchaeota ribosomal protein leader". The record is from RNAcentral.